GGUGGUAGUGAUGAAAUUUGCGCUAUAGAUAGAAAUUUUCUUCUUUGUAACCAAAGACUUGAUAAGAAAAAUGCAAAUGUUGAGCAUAAAAGACACAGCUUAAAAUCAAACUUGAUCAUUGUCAAUUCUCUUAGCACAAAAAUAAAACCCUGUUUGGAGCUAAUAUAUGUACAUUGGAUCUCCACAAAACAGCAAUGGCUCUGUGGAUACAAAUUCACUGCAUGUUUAUAAAAGUGAGAACAAGGUGAAAUGCUCUACAUGAGCAAUGGCUCUGUGGAUACAAAUUCACUGAUGUUUAUAAAAGUGAGAACAAGGUGAAAUGCUCUACAUGAACAAGGUACAUUGGAUCUUCACACAACAGCGCUGGUUCUGUCCAUUUACCUAGUUAGUGAAUUAUGCUCCUUGAUCAGUUGCUUCUACCGACAUAUGUGUUUGACUUCUUACUGUUGGAAUCUUUCUUUGCAAUUCAAUAUUUGACAUCCGCUCGGCCUCCAAUGCUCGCUCAAGCUUUCAUAACAUCAUUAAUAAAAGGUUUUAGCAGAACAUUUCAACAACUAUAAAGCUCAACAUAUUAUUCUAACGAUAUGGAUAUUCACAUAUUACACUUAAUUAUUAAUAGUACCUUGGCAGCUCGGGUGCUCCAUUCUCCUAAAAUAGCUCUGAGUCUUUCAUUCUCUUCUACAUACUGUAAUGAUUAUAACCAGAAUUCUACUAUGAGCAUCUAAUAGUCGAAGGUAGUAUAAUUUUAGUAUGGUUAAAUGUAUUUUUAAUUCCAAUAACACUGAUAAAGUGUGAUUUUGAUACAAAAACUGUGUGCAUUUUUUUUGGAAUACAAAAAAAAUAAAUUAGGGGAGGGACACCUUUAUGCAAGAAAGAACCACUGCCUUUAGCGAUGAUUUACAAUGGAAUUUACGUAUAGCUUAUGACUUGAUAAAUUUCAGAGUUGAACUCAAGUCACAGCAAUUGUGAAUGGAAGGUCUAAUCGUCUGUGUCAACCCUAAUUGGUUUGUGUGAUUUUAGUUUACUGUUAAAAUACUAAAUAUCAAGGGACUAAAAAAUGCAAUUUUUGUUAAAUGUUAAAGACUAAAAUGAAUAAACUUUUUAAAGUGAUCCAAUCAAAUUUUACCAAGUUUUUAGAAAUAAAAAACAUUUAACCCCUUUAGUAUUAGUAAAUCCUGCAUGAUACCUGAUUGUUAGUCGUGCGGACACUUUGGAUCUCCGAGUCCCUUUCAGCAAUCAAGGACCUUGCAAGCUUUAGUUCAGAUUGUACUUGGUUCAUCUGUAACAAAAAUUUCAAGCAAGGAUCCGUUUAGUUCGAGCAAUUGGGUUUGAAUGAUAUCUGGUGACAUUUAAAAAUGAGUUGGUGGGGGGGUAAGACAUAUUGUUAAAAUCACUAAUUUAUUGAUUUAUAGUGUAAAUUCAAUAAUAUACUAGUUUCUUAGAUGAAUAAUUAUGUCAAUAUCGACUGUUCAUAAUGUUUGAAGAAUGUCCAAUUACAUUUUAGCAGAAAAACACCACUAAAGUAAAACGAGUUCUGGAAAAAAAAAAAUGAAGGCCAUAAGAUUUCUAGAGCAUAAUACUUAACUAAUUGCUCUAUUUGCACAAAUGGAAUCGAUGCUUAGAAUCUCAUGACCAAUGGUGUCCUCCAAAACUUCCAGACUAGCCAUCAUUUGAAGGCUGGGAUGGGAAAAAUAUAAUACAAGCCGUGAACUAAUCAACUUCAAAUAAUUCACUUAGCUUUCGUCACUUAACUGUUCGACCUAUCUUAGGUUCUACAUCUCACUUAACUGUCCAACCUACCUACUAGAGUUAUCUUCAUGUGGAAGUAUUGUAGCUAGUUAGGAGAGUGUGCUAGGUACUUGUAGCUGUAUGCAAUAACAUUUAAAACUAGAACAGGACAGUAAUUACCUCGGCAGAAAUUGUACGCAAUUCUUGGUCACGAGCGGCUAGUAGAUGAGCAAGGUCAACCUGCAAUAUAAGCAAUUUAUUUCCCCAGGUAGACAAAGAUGGAGCCACAAAUAUUUACAGAAACCAAGAGUUGUUAAGGAGCUAUGCUAGUAUGGAGUUUUUUUUUUUUUUUUUUUAUUUUAUUUAAAUUCUAUAUUUGGUUUGUCUAAACUAUACAAUUCAAGCCUAGCUCAUUGUUAUUUAACCUACAAGGCUCGAAGUUUUACUGAGUUCAAGUUUGGUUCAUUGAGCUUCAGUGGGUUUUGAGCUCAAGUUGAGAAAACAGGCUCAAAUUCUUGCCAGGUUUAUCCUGACAUGACAUAUUCUAAGUGAGCGGAACCUAAUUUUAUCAAGUCCGAGCUUUGCUAAACUUGACUCGUUGCCAUUCCUAUGCAAAAUAAUUUUUCAACUAUCAAUGAAAUGGAUGACAACAACAGGUUUAAAGGUAAUUGAAACAAGAUUUACGAAAUUCCCCCACUAUAAAUAUAUUUCAAUUUUUUUUUUUUUUUUCAGAGGAAAUAUAUUCCAAAAGUUAUUAAAUAUAAUGAGCAAGGUCAAAGAGCAAUGAAAGAAAUUUGUUCCCUAAAAAAUGGAAUGAUUGAUUGUAGGGCUACAAUUAUGUAUCUAAAACUAGAUGCCAACCAAUCUUGAAGAUCUCAACUGUCAGGGUUGAAUAGAGAACUGUUUUUUAGCAGGAAGGAUUUUGAAUAUAAAUUGAUUAAACUUCAACAUGGUACUCUGGUUUACAUCACAAGGUGAAUUCAGAUUGCAGUACAUCACUACUAAUCUACUAUUUCAGCAAAGACAUUUUCUAUCUCAUAUUAAAAUGACAUUGAGUAUGUCUAGAUGGAUAAGCCACAACAACACAUACUCAAUGUCAUGGGCAUAAAACAUAAUAUCAAAUAGAGAUAUAACACAUAAGAAUUUAAAAUUAAGUUGGAAAAGUGAAGACUAGGAAGAGGAAUAGUUUAUCUGUGUUCAUUAUUACCUGAGGUGUGCUUCGAUCAUCAGUUCCUUCAUAUUUGCUCAAAGACUCUUGCAAACGAAGAAUCUGUAAGACAAAAUGUCUAUGAAUUAAUUUAUGCACAGUGGAACCUCUACACUAUCAGUACAAUACAAGUUAAAGUGUAUAUAAUGAAACAAAUAAGUGAAAGCUUCAAAUCCUGAGAUACCUCCUCACUCAAAAAAUGAAGAUUUUCACGCUGAUAUUGUAACAAAGCCAUUUGCUGAUCAGAGAGCCUACCAUCAUAGUACCUGUUGCAUCAAGGCAUACUAAUUACACAGUUUACAUUCUUCGCAAUCCAAGAACCCAGUGUUUGAUAUGUGUUUGCAAAUGUAAUUUCAAUUUCUUUUAUAUUUGCAUGACAUGAAUGGAAUGCACAAAAGGCAGAUUUCUGUGCAUUCUGAAAUACUAUGAUUUGCCAAACAAAGUAAUUUUGUGGUUCUUCACAAUCCAGAAACGCAAUGUUUGAUGGGUUUGCAUAUGCAAUUUGCACUUGUGCUUUUGCAUAACAUGAAUGGAAUGCAUAAAAGGUGCAGUAGGUAGAUCAUGGUGCAUUUUGUGGUUCGAGAAUUAAACGUGGAUAUUGAAUGAUGAAGUAAUUAAGAAAGAAACUAAAUUACAAAAUGUUUGCCUUAGACCCUCCAAAGAACUUGCUGGUUGUAGUGGUGAAUACAAGGACUUCAGAACAUCAGGAUGGGAGUUCAAUGAAUUGUACUGGUGUAUGUAUCCUGCUUAUACAGAAAAAGCACAUAGGAAGAAUUACAUAAAAAUACUACUACGAUAACAAAUAUACAAAAAUGGGAUAUUAUUAUUAUAUAAGUGAACUGAAUUUGCAGAAAAUACAUAAAUAUUUCAUCAGUAGGGUAGAUGGGUAGAAUGCAAUACAUAUUUCCAAAUUUUUCAGCCAAUUAGGGGUGCUGUCCUCCCCUCCCCAAGACUCAAUACACUAUUAUAGUUUUUCAAAAAGACAAUCUUAAGCUUGUUCACUUUUUUUAUACAUAUAAUUUACUACAUAUCAAUAAAUGUUCCCAGGUUUUUCAUCCAAUGAAUGGCCGUUCGUGGCACCUGAAGGCUGAAAGAAUUUCUUUAAAUGUCCUUAUAUAUGUAUAACUUUUUUAUAAAACAAUGUUCCCAUAAAAGAAACUAAUCUUAAUAGGAAGUUUAUAGCAUUGUUAACCUCCCUUAAAAAUACGAAAGGAUUAUAACUUACCAAUGUAAAGGCUCAUAAAACAUCCAGCACAUAAUGCUUCGACAACCAUAAUAAUCCUGCAGAGUUUUGAGGCAACCAAAGUAAAACGUCUUGGUAGAUGAAUGUUGAAGUUGUGAGAUUUUGGAUAAAAUGAUGAGAAAAAUAAUAAGAGUUUGAAUAUUAUUGAUAAUAGCUUGAUACAAACUUCAUACAAAAGACUAAACACCAAUUCUUAUUUAUAGGGAUACAUAUACCAAAACCUAAAUAAAUAGGAAAAUCAAGAGCAAAUAUAAUAAUGAUAAUAAUAAUAAUAAUAAUAAUAAUAAUAAUAAUAAUAAUAAUAAUAAUAAUAAUAAUAAUAAUAAUAAUAAUAAUAAUAAAAUAAUUGUUGCACGAUAUGAAAUAUCAAAUUUCAUUUGAUUACGGCCAAUUUAAAUGUAGAACCGUUAACAAGCCUAGACGUAAACAACCAAACUCUUGUCCCCUACCAAGUAUAUAUGUUGCAGCCAAAAGUUCCAAAAACAGCAAUGUAUCGAGCAUCACUAUUUACAAGCAAGACCAUCAUAAUACAACACUAACAUAACAAAGUAUACUCAUUCAACCAAACAUGCAAAAAAGCGUCAUUGUUUUUCCUGUACUUCAUGGCAACAUAUGCUGUCUCCAACAAAAACUCAAAGUUUGUAGCAUUUAAUCACCAAUCAAAUUUAUAAAUUUAUAAGAAAUUUCUAUCGAUAAGAAUCACAUUAAGCAGUCCUUCAUAUUUAGAAGCAGCAUUCUCCUGCUGAUAUUCCAUUGAAUAACCAUAAAAAAUGUCUUAAAUGGACAAGUAUGACCCAGUGAUGAUAAUACCUCAAUAUUCCAGAGAUUGACAGAGAACCAGUGUAAGGUUUCCAGACUAUAACAAGUAGCAUUGCAGCAGUUCCUGGCAUUAAAUCAAAUUGUUGAGAAUAUUAGUAUUAUAUUAUAAUUAAGAACUCGUAUUAUAAAACUAUCCAUGUUGAAAACAUUCAUCUGCUUCCACCUAACAAUUUAAGCUUUUGGGUCGAUUUGGUUCUUGACAGUUGCCACAUAUGUAUCAAUUGACUUCACGUGUUAAAUACCUUCUAAAAGUAAAGUCCAAACACUGAAAUGCUUACCAUAAGCUGUAAUGGAAAAGGGUAUGCGAACGAUAAAUUUCAACUUCUGGCUGAAACUAUAAUAGCCCUGAGAAAACACAUCAAUGAUUAAGAACAUAACUAAAGAGGAAAACAACAUAAAAUAAAAUAUAAAAGAAACCUUCAUAGACCCAUGUAGCAAAAUUUCUUUUAAUGUUUCACAGAUCUAACUGUAUUGAACUUUCAGAUUCCAGAGUUUUAUAAGGUAAAUGCUUCCGAACAAAUAUGAGAGAUGGACAAAUUAAGACACUACUGUGACAAAAAAGUACUAGCAAUCGAACGAAUUACCUGCAAUCGUAUCUUCUGCACUUGAUAAACCAGAUAUUGUUGAAAGAUCCCUGAAACCGUAAAGACGCGACAUUUGAACCCAAUAAAAAGUGCUUUAAAUCUAAUCCCAAAUAAAAUGACAUUUAUUAGGCUUAUAAAGAUUUAUAAAUAAUGUUUAAUUCUAUGCAUUACCAUUUACAAAUACAACAUCAAUGUAAACUCUAAAGGGGAUUUUAGCUGCUUUAAUUCACCAAAAAUUUAAACGUUAUCCAAUUACCCUACGCCAAAUUCAAUUAACAGAAGCCUAGGAUAGAAUUAUCACAUAAUUUAUUCCAAAGAACUCAGCAAACACGGCACACCAAUCAGAAAAUUAUCGACAUCCAAAUAAAAGAACUGAGAACAACUAAUGACAUUGGUUCUAGAACCAAACCUGUCAACAGCAAAAGAAGAACAUCACAACUACAUAACACUGGAGAAAUCAAUCCUUGCACAGGCCGAAAUAUCCAUUGAGCUCCUACAGCCAAAGUAGUAUAACCUGCCUAAAAUGGAAAAAACAAUAAGCAAAUUAUCACACCGUAACAAUAUUCUUAACGCAACAAACUUAUGUAGGACUGGCACUUCAUAUUGAAGAUGUCAGUUAUCCAACAAAGACACCUACAUAACACCAAUACAUGUGGUUUCAUUUAAUCGCUUUUAUUUUCUUAAAUUAUUAUUGUCUGCAUGUGAAUAUCGGGAUUCUUAAAUUAGCAAAUCAUCACGCAUUCAUAAUAUUCUUAACGCAACAAACCUAUAUAUCACCAACACUUCAUAUUGAAGGUGUCCAUUGUCUGACACAGAAACCUACACGACACCACUGAUAAACAUGCUUUCACUCAAUCACUAUUAUUUUCUUAAAUUAUUAUGGUGUCUACCUGUCGGUAUCAGUGUCGUGUUCGUAUUUGUGCUUCAUAGCAACAAACUAUCAAAUUAAACAAAACAAAUCAAAUCACAUCAUAAAUUAUCAGUGCCUAGUGUCACUAUCAGUAUCGUAUCCUUGUAUGUUCUACAUAGCAACAAACUAUCAAAUUCAACAAAAAGAAAAUCACCAUCAUCAUAUGUUAUUAAUGUCCACAUCUCAAGCUCAGUAUCGUGUAUGUACUUCAUAGCAGCAAACUAUCAAAUUAAAUAAAAAAAAUCACAUCAUAAAUUACCGGUGCCUACGUGUCAUUCUCGUGUCAUUAUCAGUAUCGUGUCUGUGAAUGUACUUAAUAGCCACAAAACUAUCAAAUUAAUUGAAAAAACCAUCAUCUUAUAUCAUCAGUGUCCACGCCUGCGUGUCAGUAUCAGUAUUGUAUCAUGCUUCAUAGCAACAAACAAUCAAAUUCAACUAAAAAUCAUCAACAUAUAUUAUCAAAUCAAAUAAAAUCUCUAUAAAAAAAGUAUAAACUUACCAGUAGUAUGCAAUACAAAACACUCCCAAAAAUCCUUGCAGGUUUGCGAUGAGCAAAUAAAGGAGCUUCAUGAAGUAUAUCCAGAAAUCUACAUCAAAAUUAAAAAUAAAGCUUGAUUUUGCAUGCAUCAUAAAAAACUGAACUAUUGAAAUCAAAAUUCGGAAGAAAUUGAAAAAUUGGGAGCGUGAUUACUGACAGAGCGUUUUCUUCUUGAGAUGUGGGUGGCCGAGAAGAGAAUCUCUCCGUUGCCAUUUUCUUCUAGAUUUGAAUCAAGGGUUUGGAAAAAGGAUGAAGGUUCUUCUUCUUCUUCUUCUUAUUGUUCAUCAAUGAAAAUUGAGUUAUGUCAUUUCAAAUCCAUAUUUUUGUUACCAUCUAAAUUUAAUUACAUCAUCAAGUAUAUAUAACUCACUUGUGAUAAUUAUUAUUAAAAAUAUUUUUAUGGUAAUUAUUAAAUGUUUUUAUGUUGUUUUAUUGAUUUUUCUUAUGAGAUGUUUGAUUCAUCAUUGGAUUAUAAAUAAGGGAGAUAUACUAAAGAUGGUUUAAGGUUUGGAUCU
Molecule: long non-coding RNA, 7544 nt
Filed under: Medicago truncatula (barrel medic)
Lineage: Eukaryota; Viridiplantae; Streptophyta; Magnoliopsida; Fabales; Fabaceae
Description: long non-coding RNA (MTRU_LNC008352)
Source: RNAcentral